This 237-nucleotide long non-coding RNA is filed under the name Hordeum vulgare. RNAcentral's name for it is "long non-coding RNA (HVUL_LNC021214)". Lineage: Eukaryota; Viridiplantae; Streptophyta; Magnoliopsida; Poales; Poaceae. The record is from RNAcentral.
UCAUGCAAACCAAGUGAUAUUCGUCAAAGUUUGGAUAGAAAACAACACAAAUCAUCUGUACUUAGCAUGCAAAUUUAGUCUAGUAUAACAAUGUCUCAAAUUAGACUAGAUCCUAAAUGUCCAACAAGUUUUUUAUCGGCGGAUCAUGUCGUUCCACACAUAUUCCUUUUUCAACUUUAUCCAAUAAUGUUUACACGAAAUUGUGGUCACUCUUUCAUAUGGUACGUAAUUAUGCAU